This 252-nucleotide ribosomal RNA is filed under the name uncultured bacterium. RNAcentral describes it as "partial 16S ribosomal RNA". It matches the Rfam family "Bacterial small subunit ribosomal RNA", at positions 524 to 885 of the family's 1533-position model. The record is from RNAcentral.
UACGAAGGGGGCUAGCGUUGCUCGGAAUUACUGGGCGUAAAGCGCACGUAGGCGGAUUGUUAAGUCGGGGGUGAAAUCCUGGAGCUCAACUCCAGAACUGCCUUCGAUACUGGCGAUCUCGAGUUCGGGAGAGGUGAGUGGGAACUGCGAGUGUAGAGGUGAAAUUCGUAGAUAUUCGCAAGAACACCAGUGGCGAAGGCGGAGCCUCGCCUGCCGCUGGACCGAAGUGAUCAGGACGCUUGGAAAGGCCGA